CUGGUUGCUUAUAUAUCGUUUCAGUUUUGCGUUUAUUGUGUGGUUGGAGUGUUAAUUGCUUUCACCUGUCUGGUUUUUGGAGUUUUUCCUUAAGUCAGUUUUGGGUGAUUGCGAUCUGACACUCUAUUGUGCCUCUGCAGUAAACGAGUCCAUUGUAACGCUAUGAUCAGACAUAUGUUAAGAGGAAGGCCUAAGAAUCGAUUAAUUUCACGCCCUUUUCGCUAACAGGGACUAAAUUUCCUACAGUCCACAGUUUGAUAGUAGGUGGGCGGACAUCU
This 278-nucleotide small nucleolar RNA is filed under the name Maudiozyma saulgeensis. Lineage: Eukaryota; Fungi; Ascomycota; Saccharomycetes; Saccharomycetales; Saccharomycetaceae. The record is from RNAcentral.